CCUAGCGGAUCGGGGCUUUCCUGCCAGCGGAGCCGGUCCGAUUCCGGGCAGAAGGCGCCGCCGGGGCUGGACGCUCCCUGCAGCCCCGGGGGAGGCGCUGGGCCCGCGGCGCUUCCGAGGGGGGCCGGGCGGGCGGACCCUUCCGCGCUCCCGGGGCGCCCGCCCGUCGCGGAGGCGCGCGUGCACGGCCGUGUGUGUCCGUGUGCGCGUCCGUGUGUGUCCCUGCGCGUGUUGGGCGUUCGGGACUCCGUGGGCCCCAGCUCGACCCGUUUCUCGGCCGAUGGCAGCAACAGGGUCCCUGACCGGCUCCUGCCGACCUGGGGCACGACGUCUGGCAAGGGAACAAGAAAGGAAACCCAUCGUCCCAGCCCCUGGUACCUCACGGCUAUUUGCAGCCUAUUGGAGCACUGCCUGGAGCACCGCCCGGGGAUGCCCCCCCCCCACCCCCUGCGGAGGGCCAGCCUGCCUUCCUGGGUCCUGCCCUCUGGCUCUCUGGCUUCUGUUUCUUCUUUGAGGGCUCAGCAGACACUGUGCCUCUUGAGGAGCUAGGCUAUCACGAUGCCUCUGUCGAGUGGAGGGAUGGCCGGCCGGGCUGCGUUCGGGAAGAGAAAGGUCCUGGGACACUGUCGGACAAGGAAGCAAAGGGAGGGGGAAGGUCUGCCAAUAAUCGUGCCUCGGUUUCGAAGUCACAGAAUGGGCGUCAGAGAUAACAGCGAUGUGACCUUCAGAGCCACUUGAGUUGCCUGAGACUUGGGUUUUUCCCCAGAAUGACAAUGACGUGUGCCUCCGGUUUCACACGGGGACACAAAAAUCAUCGGGCAAAGUGCUUUUGGAACGUGGGCUCAGGCGUCAGACUGCCCGGCUUCCACCUUCCUCAGGAGGCUGAACGCGUAACCUUGGACGAGUUCAUCAUUCUCUCUAGGCCUCAGUUUCCCCACCUAUAAAAUGGAGACGGUCCUGGAAAUCCCGGGCUGAGCAGAUUAGGUAGGACAGUCUCAGCAUCAGCCAGGGCGGGGAAGGCCUCCUCCACGGUCACUCUGCUCAGUAAGAACUCAGGGAGAUUCUGAUUGGACUUCUCUGUGGGAAGAGUAGUUACGGGAAACGCAAAGUCCCCCAGAAUGAGCACAGUCCUUUAAAAAAAUUUUUUUUAAUAUUUUAUUUAUUUUUGAGAGAGCAUGAGCUGGGGGAGGACAGAGAGAGAGGGGGACAGAAGAUCUGAUGUGGG
Long non-coding RNA from Leopardus geoffroyi (Geoffroy's cat), 1225 nucleotides. RefSeq lists it as uncharacterized. The transcript is spliced from 3 exons. The record is from RefSeq and is a predicted model, not a curated record. NCBI's taxonomy places the organism in Eukaryota, Metazoa, Chordata, Mammalia, Carnivora, Felidae.